Molecule: RNase P RNA, 228 nt
Filed under: Escherichia coli
Lineage: Bacteria; Pseudomonadati; Pseudomonadota; Gammaproteobacteria; Enterobacterales; Enterobacteriaceae
Also listed under: 2 other names
Description: partial RNase P RNA component class A
Rfam family: Bacterial RNase P class A
About the family: Ribonuclease P (RNase P) is a ubiquitous endoribonuclease, found in archaea, bacteria and eukarya as well as chloroplasts and mitochondria. Its best characterised activity is the generation of mature 5'-ends of tRNAs by cleaving the 5'-leader elements of precursor-tRNAs.
Source: RNAcentral
GAAGCUGACCAGACAGUCGCCGCUUCGUCGUCGUCCUCUUCGGGGGAGACGGGCGGAGGGGAGGAAAGUCCGGGCUCCAUAGGGCAGGGUGCCAGGUAACGCCUGGGGGGGAAACCCACGACCAGUGCAACAGAGAGCAAACCGCCGAUGGCCCGCGCAAGCGGGAUCAGGUAAGGGUGAAAGGGUGCGGUAAGAGCGCACCGCGCGGCUGGUAACAGUCCGUGGCAC